AUUCACGGAGAGUUUGAUCCUGGCUCAGGACGAACGCUGGCGGCGUGCUUAACACAUGCAAGUCGAACGAUGAACCAUU
This 79-nucleotide ribosomal RNA is filed under the name Actinacidiphila alni. Its description in RNAcentral is "Streptomyces alni 16S rRNA. Bacterial SSU". It matches the Rfam family "Bacterial small subunit ribosomal RNA", at positions 1 to 78 of the family's 1533-position model. Lineage: Bacteria; Bacillati; Actinomycetota; Actinomycetes; Kitasatosporales; Streptomycetaceae. The record is from RNAcentral.